GAAAGAAAAGCCUCCUGGUUUGGAGCUCAUAAUCAAGUCAGCCUUGCUGCAGGGCUCAUUUUAAGCCAGUAUCCUGGACCAGAUGCCAUUAAGAAUAUUUAAUUCAUGGGAGGAGGUCAAAAUAUCAACAUUAGCUGGAUUUUGGAAAAAGUGGAUUCCAACCCUCAGUGGACGACUUUGUGGAAUUCAAGACUCCAAUAGAGGAAGUCACCACAAAUAGCAAAAGAACAAGAAUUACCUGUGCAGCCUGAAGACGGGACUGAAUUGCUGCAAUUGUAACAUCAAAU
Molecule: long non-coding RNA, 287 nt
Filed under: Homo sapiens (human)
Lineage: Eukaryota; Metazoa; Chordata; Mammalia; Primates; Hominidae
Description: non-protein coding lnc-PDGFD-1:9
Source: RNAcentral